RNAcentral lists this ribosomal RNA (427 nucleotides) under uncultured bacterium. RNAcentral describes it as "bacterial SSU rRNA". It matches the Rfam family "Bacterial small subunit ribosomal RNA", at positions 355 to 774 of the family's 1533-position model. The record is from RNAcentral.
UGGGGAAUUUUGGACAAUGGGCGCAAGCCUGAUCCAGCAAUGCCGCGUGCAGGAUGAAGGCCUUCGGGUUGUAAACUGCUUUUGUACGGAGCGAAAAGGUCUGCCCUAAUACGGUGGGCUCAUGACGGUACCGUAAGAAUAAGCACCGGCUAACUACGUGCCAGCAGCCGCGGUAAUACGUGGGGUGCGAGCGUUAAUCGGAAUUACUGGGCGUAAAGCGUGCGCAGGCGGUUAUAUAAGACAGGUGUGAAAUCCCCGGGCUCAACCUGGGACCUGCAUUUGUGACUGUAUAGCUAGAGUACGGUAGAGGGGGAUGGAAUUCCGCGUGUAGCAGUGAAAUGCGUAGAUAUGCGGAGGAACACCGAUGGCGAAGGCAAUCCCCUGGACCUGUACUGACGCUCAUGCACGAAAGCGUGGGGAGCAAACA